CUUCCAGCCGGCAAGGUACUUGUACCUCGUUGACUGGAAGGAAACCCUUCCAGCCGGCGAGGUACAAGUACCUCGCCGGCUGGAAGGAAACCCUCGGUACAAGUGCCUCGCCGGCUGGAAGGAAUCCCUUCCAGUCGACGAGGUACAAGUACCUCGCCGGCUGGAAG
This 167-nucleotide microRNA precursor is filed under the name Puccinia graminis f. sp. tritici CRL 75-36-700-3. Its description in RNAcentral is "microRNA MIR807". Lineage: Eukaryota; Fungi; Basidiomycota; Pucciniomycetes; Pucciniales; Pucciniaceae. The record is from RNAcentral.